This 407-nucleotide ribosomal RNA is filed under the name uncultured bacterium. Its description in RNAcentral is "partial 16S ribosomal RNA". It matches the Rfam family "Bacterial small subunit ribosomal RNA", at positions 28 to 526 of the family's 1533-position model. The record is from RNAcentral.
GAUGAACGCUAGCGAUAGGCUUAACACAUGCAAGUCGAGGGACCGGCGCACGGGUGCGUAACGCGUAUGCAACCUGCCUGUAAUUAGGGAAUAACCCGGUGAAAGUCGGACUAAUACCCUAUAAUUACAGAUGGGCAUGCGUCCCAUUAGCUUGUUGGUAAGGUAACGGCUUACCAAGGCAACGAUGGGUAGGGGGACUGAGAGGUUGACCCACCACACUGGGACUGAGGCACAGACCACGCUCGUACGCGAGGGAGCGGUGAGGAAUGUUGGUCAAUGGGCGCGGGCCUGAACCCGCCAAGUGGCGUGAAGGACGACGGUUUAGGGAUGGUAUACUUCUUUUGUAGAGAAAUAUGUACUCUACGAAUAAGUAUCGGCUAACUCCGUGCCAGCAGCCGCGGUAAUAC